Schistosoma haematobium is the source of this 45-nucleotide non-coding RNA. The record is from Rfam. Lineage: Eukaryota; Metazoa; Platyhelminthes; Trematoda; Strigeidida; Schistosomatidae.
AUCCAGCUGACGAGUCCCAUAUAGGACGAAACGUGCGUCCUGGAU